GACGAACGCUGGCGGCGUGCUUAACACAUGCAAGUCGUACGGUAAGGCCCUUUCGGGGGUACACGAGUGGCGAACGGGUGCGUAACACGUGAGUAACCUGCCCACAACUUUGGGAUAACGCUAGGAAACUGGUGCUAAUACUGGAUAUGUGCUCCUGCUGCAUGGUGGGGGUUGGAAAGCUCCGGCGGUUGUGGGUGGACUCGCGGCCUAUCAGCUUGUUGGUGGGGUAGUGGCCUACCAAGGCGGCGACGGGUAGCCGGCCUGAGAGGGUGACCGGCCACAUUGGGACUGAGAUACGGCCCAGACUCCGACGGGAGGCAGAAGUGGGGAAGAUUGCACAAUGGGCGCAAGCCUGAUGCAGCAACGCCGCGUGCGGGAUGACGGCCUUAGGGUUGGAAACCGCUUUCAGCAGGGACGAAGCUUUUUGUGACGGUACCUGCAGAAGAAGCACCGGCUAACUACGUG
Molecule: ribosomal RNA, 465 nt
Filed under: uncultured bacterium
Lineage: Bacteria
Description: partial 16S ribosomal RNA
Rfam family: Bacterial small subunit ribosomal RNA
Source: RNAcentral